UACGUAUUGUUCACGCGUUAAUCGGAAUUACUGGGCGUAAAGCGUGCGCAGGCGGUUUUGUAAGUCUGUCGUGAAAGCCCCGGGCUUAACCUGGGAAUUGCGAUGGAGACUGCAAGGCUUGAAUCUGGCAGAGGGGGGUAGAAUUCCACGUGUAGCAGUGAAAUGCGUAGAGAUGUGGAGGAACACCGAUGGCGAAGGCAGCCCCCUGGGUCAAGAUUGACGCUCAUGCACGAAAGCGUGGGGAGCAAACAGGAUUAGAUAACCUAGUAGUCC
This 273-nucleotide ribosomal RNA is filed under the name uncultured Massilia sp. RNAcentral describes it as "partial 16S ribosomal RNA". It matches the Rfam family "Bacterial small subunit ribosomal RNA", at positions 524 to 796 of the family's 1533-position model. The record is from RNAcentral. Lineage: Bacteria; Pseudomonadati; Pseudomonadota; Betaproteobacteria; Burkholderiales; Oxalobacteraceae.